CGUAGGGGGCAAGCGUUAUCCGGAUUUACUGGGUGUAAAGGGAGCGUAGACGGCAAGGCAAGUCUGGAGUGAAAGCCCGGGGCCCAACCCCGGGACUGCUCUGGAAACUGUGGUGCUAGAGUGCAGGAGGGGUGGGCGGAAUUCCUAGUGUAGCGGUGAAAUGCGUAGAUAUUAGGAGGAACACCAGCGGCGAAGGCGGCCCACUGGACUGCGACUGACGUUGAGGCUCGAAGGCGUGGGGAGCAAA
Molecule: ribosomal RNA, 247 nt
Filed under: uncultured bacterium
Lineage: Bacteria
Description: partial 16S ribosomal RNA
Rfam family: Bacterial small subunit ribosomal RNA
Source: RNAcentral